RNAcentral lists this ribosomal RNA (253 nucleotides) under uncultured bacterium. Its description in RNAcentral is "partial 16S ribosomal RNA". It matches the Rfam family "Bacterial small subunit ribosomal RNA", at positions 524 to 776 of the family's 1533-position model. The record is from RNAcentral.
UACGAAGGGGGCUAGCGUUGUCCGGAAUUAUUGGGCGUAAAGAGCUCGUAGGCGGUCUGUUGCGUCGGCUGUGAAAACCCGGGGCUCAACUCCGGGCCUGCAGCCGAUACGGGCAGACUAGAGUUCGGCAGGGGAGACUGGAAUUCCUGGUGUAGCGGUGAAAUGCGCAGAUAUCAGGAGGAACACCCGUGGCGAAGGCGGUUCUCUGGGACGGUACUGACGCUGAGACGCGAAAGCGUGGGGAGCGAACAGG